Molecule: transfer RNA, 72 nt
Filed under: Mesocricetus auratus (golden hamster)
Lineage: Eukaryota; Metazoa; Chordata; Mammalia; Rodentia; Cricetidae
Rfam family: tRNA
About the family: Transfer RNA (tRNA) molecules are approximately 80 nucleotides in length. Their secondary structure includes four short double-helical elements and three loops (D, anti-codon, and T loops).
Source: Rfam by way of RNAcentral
GCAGGCAUAGCUCAUUUGGUAGAGUGUUUGCCUACUAUGCACAGGUCCAUGGUUCAAUUCCAGGAACAUGCA